GAUGAACGCUGGCGGCGUGCCUAAUACAUGCAAGUCGAGCGAACAGACGAGGAGCUUGCUCCUCUGACGUUAGCGGCGGACGGGUGAGUAACACGUGGAUAACCUACCUAUAAGACUGGGAUAAUUUCGGGAAACCGGAGCUAAUACCGGAUAACAUGUUGAACCGCAUGGUUCAACAGUGAAAGACGGUCUUGCUGUCACUUAUAGAUGGAUCCGCGCCGCAUUAGCUAGUUGGUAAGGUAACGGCUUACCAAGGCAACGAUGCGUAGCCGACCUGAGAGGGUGAUCGGCCACACUGGAACUGAGACACGGUCCAGACUCCUACGGGAGGCAGCAGUAGGGAAUCUUCCGCAAUGGGCGAAAGCCUGACGGAGCAACGCCGCGUGAGUGAAGAAGGUCUUCGGAUCGUAAAACUCUGUUAUUAGGGAAGAACAAAUGUGUAAGUAACUAUGCACGUCUUGACGGUACCUAAUCAGAAAGCCACGGCUAACUACGUG
Molecule: ribosomal RNA, 497 nt
Filed under: uncultured bacterium
Lineage: Bacteria
Description: partial 16S ribosomal RNA
Rfam family: Bacterial small subunit ribosomal RNA
Source: RNAcentral